This 520-nucleotide small RNA is filed under the name uncultured Glomus. RNAcentral's name for it is "SSU rRNA". It matches the Rfam family "Eukaryotic small subunit ribosomal RNA", at positions 569 to 1091 of the family's 1831-position model. Lineage: Eukaryota; Fungi; Glomeromycota; Glomeromycetes; Glomerales; Glomeraceae. The record is from RNAcentral.
AGCAGCCGCGGUAAUUCCAGCUCCAAUAGCGUAUAUUAAAGUUGUUGCAGUUAAAAAGCUCGUAGUUGAAUUUCGGGAUCGAUAUGUCGGUCGUGCUUCGGUACGUACUGUCAUUACCGGUUUCUACCUUCUGAAGAACCGCGAUGUCAUUAAUUUGGUGUCGUGGGAAAUCAGGGCUGUUACUUUGAAAAAAUUAGAGUGUUUAAAGCAGGCUCGCGCUUGAAUACAUUAGCAUGGAAUAAUGAAAUAGGACGUUUGAUUCUAUUUUGUUGGUUUCUAGGAUCGACGUAAUGAUUAAUAGGGAUAGUUGGGGGCAUUAGUAUUCAAUUGUCAGAGGUGGAAUUCUUGGAUUUAUUGAAGACUAACUACUGCGAAAGCAUUUGCCAAAGAUGGUUUCAUUAAUCAAGAACGAAAGUUAGGGGAUCGAAGACGAUCAGAUACCGUCGUAGUCUUAACCAUAAACUAUGCCGACUAGGGAUCGGAUGAUGUUAAUUUUUUAAUGACUCAUUCGGCGCCUUAC